GAUGAACGCUGGCGGCGUGCCUAAUACAUGCAAGUCGAGCGAACGGACGAGAAGCUUGCUUCUCUGAUGUUAGCGGCGGACGGGUGAGUAACACGUGGAUAACCUACCUAUAAGACUGGGAUAACUUCGGGAAACCGGAGCUAAUACCGGAUAAUAUUUUGAACCGCAUGGUUCAAAAGUGAAAGACGGUCUUGCUGUCACUUAUAGAGGGAUACGCGCUGCAUUAGCUAGUUGGUAAGGUAACGGCUUACCAAGGCAACGAUGCCUAGCCGACCUGAGAGGGUGAUCGGCCACACUAGAACUGAGACAGGGUCCAGACUCCUACGGGAGGCAGCAGUAGGGAAUCUUACGCAAUGGGCGAAAGCCUGACGGAACAAGGCGGCGUGAGUGAUAGAGGUCUUCGGAUCGUAAAACUCUGUUAUUAGGGAAGAACAUAUGUGUAAGUAACUGUACACAUCUUGACGGUACCUAAUCAGAAAGCCACGGCUAACUACGUG
Molecule: ribosomal RNA, 497 nt
Filed under: uncultured bacterium
Lineage: Bacteria
Description: partial 16S ribosomal RNA
Rfam family: Bacterial small subunit ribosomal RNA
Source: RNAcentral